This 523-nucleotide ribosomal RNA is filed under the name uncultured bacterium. RNAcentral's name for it is "partial 16S ribosomal RNA". It matches the Rfam family "Bacterial small subunit ribosomal RNA", at positions 28 to 523 of the family's 1533-position model. The record is from RNAcentral.
GACGAACGCUGGCGGCGUGCCUAAUACAUGCAAGUCGAACGCUUUUUCUUUCACCGGAGCUUGCUCCACCGAAAGAAAAAGAGUGGCGAACGGGUGAGUAACACGUGGGCAACCUGCCCAUCAGAAGGGGAUAACACUUGGAAACAGGUGCUAAUACCGUAUAACACUAUUUUCCGCAUGGAAGAAAGUUGAAAGGCGCUUUUGCGUCACUGAUGGAUGGACCCGCGGUGCAUUAGCUAGUUGGUGAGGUAACGGCUCACCAAGGCAACGAUGCAUAGCCGACCUGAGAGGGUGAUCGGCCACACUGGGACUGAGACACGGCCCAGACUCCUACGGGAGGCAGCAGUAGGGAAUCUUCGAUAAUGGACGAAAGUCUGACCGAGCAACGCCGCGUGAGUGAAGAAGGUUUUCGGAUCGUAAAACUCUGUUGUUAGAGAAGAACAAGGAUGAGAGUAAAAUGUUCAUCCCUUGACGGUAUCUAACCAGAAAGCCACGGCUAACUACGUGCCAGCAGCCGCCGUAA